Molecule: ribosomal RNA, 327 nt
Filed under: uncultured eukaryote
Lineage: Eukaryota
Description: partial 18S ribosomal RNA
Rfam family: Eukaryotic small subunit ribosomal RNA
Source: RNAcentral
CCCUUAGAUGUUCUGGGCCGCACACGCGCUACACUGAAGGAGGCAGCGUGUACUCCUGGAUCGAAAGAUUUGGGUAACCCGCGAAUCUCCUUCGUGCUAGGGAUUGAGGUUUGCAAUUAUCCUUCAUGAACGAGGAAUUCCCAGUAAGUGCAAGUCAUAAGCUUGCGCUGACUACGUCCCUGCCCUGUGUACACACCGCCCGUCGCUACUACCGAUUGAAUGAUUUAGUGAGGACUUCGGACUGGGACCGAUGCGGCUUUCGGGCUGCGUCGGUAUUCUGGAAAGAUGUCCAAACUGUAUCAUUUAGAGGAAGUAAAAGUCGUAACA